UUUUGAGAGUUUCAUAAUUUCAGAGGUCCCUAAAUGUUUGAACUUUAUGUACAGCAACAUAACGCAUAAUUACUCAACAGUCCUUGCAGGCUACUAUGUCACUAGGCUGUGAACGACGUGCCAGAUCUCUGCUAUGUUGGAUAUUUGUAUAUAUCAGCAUUACUAUUUUUAUUAGGUCUAUUUAUUGUUCAGUUGGUUAAAUUUGUUUGAACACUGAAGCCUCCGGUACAGCUGUACUGCCGCCCUACGUACGAUACGGAGAAAAUUCGAAAGUGAAAAUAGAAAUCGUGUACAAGUUAACAAUAACCAUCUCGAAGUUGAAGUUAAACAUGCAAUCUGGAACUCGGUAUCACAUCUGACUCGCACUUCUGAAAUGGAUCAAAUCGGACUUUGUCGUCGAGACUCGGAAGAACCCAGCUGCCUAAAUUAUAAUGCCAGUGGAACACAAAACAGAAAAGAUACUUGUAUGCAAGACAUAGAAAAGAGCAGACUACAGCCUCUAUAUACCAUUCCUUGGUGCCUCCUUGAAUUGAUGUUUUUCAGGAUAACCAUGCAGGAAUAAAGGUUAACUCAGUAUAAAGUCUUGCUGACAUGAACAUGAUAAUCACAAGAAAGUGAAUAUAUUUUACCUUAAGCAAUCUUCAAAAUACC
Molecule: long non-coding RNA, 651 nt
Organism: Saccostrea cuccullata (small rock oyster)
Lineage: Eukaryota; Metazoa; Mollusca; Bivalvia; Ostreida; Ostreidae
Exons: 4
Source: RefSeq, a predicted model, not a curated record